UUAUUGGGCGUAAAGCGCGUCUAGGUGGUUAUGUAAGUCUGAUGUGAAAAUGCAGGGCUCAACUCUGUAUUGCGUUGGAAACUGCAUGACUAGAGUACUGGAGAGGUAAGCGGAACUACAAGUGUAGAGGUGAAAUUCGUAGAUAUUUGUAGGAAUGCCGAUGGGGAAGCCAGCUUACUGGACAGAUACUGACGCUAAAGCGCGAAAGCGUGGGUAGCAAACAGGAUUAGAUACCCUGGUAGUCCACGCCGUAAACGAUGAUUACUAGGUGUUGGGGGUCGAACCUCAGCGCCCAAGCUAACGCGAUAAGUAAUCCGCCUGGGGAGUACGUACGCAAGUAUGAAACUCAAAGGAAUUGACGGGGACCCGCACAAGCGGUGGAGCAUGUGGUUUAAUUCGACGCAACGCGAGGAACCUUACCAGCGUUUGACAUCUUAGGAAUGAGACAGAGAUGUUUCAGUGUCCCUUCGGGGAAACCUAAAGACAGGUGGUGCAUGGCUGUCGUCAGCUCGUGUCGUGAGAAG
This 524-nucleotide ribosomal RNA is filed under the name uncultured bacterium. RNAcentral describes it as "bacterial SSU rRNA". It matches the Rfam family "Bacterial small subunit ribosomal RNA", at positions 551 to 1074 of the family's 1533-position model. The record is from RNAcentral.